Molecule: ribosomal RNA, 412 nt
Filed under: uncultured prokaryote
Description: partial 16S ribosomal RNA
Source: RNAcentral
CCCUAUGGGGCGCAGCAGGCGGCUGUGGCAUUCGAUGACGGCCAGGCAAUAGAGCUUGCGGGACGUGUUGCCAUAGGCAAGAGAGCCGAAAUGGCCCCAGUCGAGCUGGAACUGCUCGCCCGGCGGGGACUCGAAGCGGAUGAAAGCCUCCCUGGGUUUGGGCCAAAUUUUUCGCAGGUACUCCCGCAAGAUGCUCAGGCCCCCUUCAAAACCGUGGGCUUCCAGCCGCUGAUGGAUCACGCUGGCCGAAGCUUGCUGAUCUUUCUCGACAAGGCCUUCAACCAGGUCCUUGAAAGGAUCGAGCUUGCUGGCCCUGACCACGGAGGGCCUGACAGGGUUGGGCUCGGCCAGGUAUUUGCUGACCGUGGCACGGUCCAACCGCAGGACUUUGGCAAUCUUGCGGCGGGGGGGC